This is a transfer RNA of 85 nucleotides. It matches the Rfam family "tRNA". Rfam says of the family: Transfer RNA (tRNA) molecules are approximately 80 nucleotides in length. Their secondary structure includes four short double-helical elements and three loops (D, anti-codon, and T loops). Further hydrogen bonds mediate the characteristic L-shaped molecular structure. tRNAs have two regions of fundamental functional importance: the anti-codon, which is responsible for specific mRNA codon recognition, and the 3' end, to which the tRNAs corresponding amino acid is attached (by aminoacyl-tRNA synthetases). tRNAs cope with the degeneracy of the genetic code in two manners: having more than one tRNA (with a specific anti-codon) for a particular amino acid; and 'wobble' base-pairing, i.e. permitting non-standard base-pairing at the 3rd anti-codon position.
GGUUCCGUGGUUUAGUUGGUCAUAACGUUCGCCUAACAAUUUAAAGGUACGCGAAAGGUCCCCAGUUCGAUCCUGGGCGGAAUCA